GACGAACGCCGGCGGCGUGCCUAAUACAUGCAAGUAGAACGCUGAAGAGAGGAGCUUGCUCUUCUUGGAUGAGUUGCGAACGGGUGAGUAACGCGUAGGUAACCUGCCUGGUAGCGGGGGAUAACUAUUGGAAACGAUAGCUAAUACCGCAUAAAAUGGAUUAUCGCAUGAUAAUCCAUUGAAAGGUGCAAAUGCAUCACUACCAGAUGGACCUGCGUUGUAUUAGCUAGUUGGUGGGGUAACGGCUCACCAAGGCGACGAUACAUAGCCGACCUGAGAGGGUGAUCGGCCACACUGGGACUGAGACACGGCCCAGACUCCUACGGGAGGCAGCAGUAGGGAAUCUUCGGCAAUGGACGGAAGUCUGACCGAGCAACGCCGCGUGAGUGAAGAAGGUUUUCGGAUCGUAAAGCUCUGUUGUAAGAGAAGAACGAGUGUGAGAGUGGAAAGUUCACACUGUGACGGUAUCUUACCAGAAAGGGACGGCUAACUACGUG
RNAcentral lists this ribosomal RNA (497 nucleotides) under uncultured bacterium. RNAcentral describes it as "partial 16S ribosomal RNA". It matches the Rfam family "Bacterial small subunit ribosomal RNA", at positions 28 to 507 of the family's 1533-position model. The record is from RNAcentral.